GGGGUUGUAGCUCAGUGGUAGAGUGCUUGUCUUGCACAUGUGAGGCACUGGGUUCGAUCCGCAGCACCACA
Molecule: transfer RNA, 71 nt
Filed under: Marmota monax (woodchuck)
Lineage: Eukaryota; Metazoa; Chordata; Mammalia; Rodentia; Sciuridae
Description: tRNA.Ala
Rfam family: tRNA
About the family: Transfer RNA (tRNA) molecules are approximately 80 nucleotides in length. Their secondary structure includes four short double-helical elements and three loops (D, anti-codon, and T loops).
Source: RNAcentral